AUACUUACCUGGCAGGGGAGACACCAUGAUCAGGCAGGUGGUUUUCCCAGGGCGAGGCUCAUCCCCUGCACUCCGGGUGUGCUGACCCCUGCGAUUUCCCCAAAUGCGGGAAACUCGACUGCAUAAUU
Molecule: small nuclear RNA, 128 nt
Filed under: Calidris pygmaea (Spoon-billed sandpiper)
Lineage: Eukaryota; Metazoa; Chordata; Aves; Charadriiformes; Scolopacidae
Description: U1 spliceosomal RNA (ENSCPGG00000008743.1)
Rfam family: U1 spliceosomal RNA
About the family: U1 is a small nuclear RNA (snRNA) component of the spliceosome (involved in pre-mRNA splicing). Its 5' end forms complementary base pairs with the 5' splice junction, thus defining the 5' donor site of an intron. There are significant differences in sequence and secondary structure between metazoan and yeast U1 snRNAs, the latter being much longer (568 nucleotides as compared to 164 nucleotides in human).
Source: Rfam by way of RNAcentral